CACUAUGGCUGAACCACAGAAAUCUGUCAAUCUGCAGAAUACUCCAUUCCUGUGUGUGUGACCUAUUAAACCAUGGCACUGAAUCAUUCAUGUGGCACUGCAAAUAAGAUGGCAUCGGGCAUUUAUGAAGUGAAUGUUGCUCAUCAUUGCUUGCUGAAUGUGUGACAGAGCUGGAGGGAGGAAGAACUUAGAUCUGACUCCUAACCCUAGGCCUGUUCAUUUCUGGAUUGACUGUGUCCUGCAUCAAAAGACUAAGCUGUUCCUGAGGCAACAAGGUAGGCUGGGAAAUCAAUAGUUAGGAAAAUGUUUUGGGAGAGAGCUAGAAAAUUGAUGGAAGAAUUUAGGACUGUAAUUCAUUUGCAUAAGAUGUACUCAUAACUGCAGUUUUGAUGAUAGUAUUUUCCUGCAGUCCCAUUGUUUGAAUCAGACAAAAUCAAAGGUAUUAUUCCGAAUCCAUGCAAAACUAGAUUUACUAAGCAGGAAUUGACUUUUUUCCUAGAGACAAGCAUAAUAACAUUCUAAACAUUAAAGUAGUUUUCC
This 540-nucleotide long non-coding RNA is filed under the name Anser cygnoides (Swan goose). RNAcentral's name for it is "lncRNA (ENSACDG00005013816.1)". The record is from RNAcentral. Lineage: Eukaryota; Metazoa; Chordata; Aves; Anseriformes; Anatidae.